This 141-nucleotide non-coding RNA is filed under the name Meleagris gallopavo (turkey). RNAcentral describes it as "Eukaryotic large subunit ribosomal RNA". It matches the Rfam family "Eukaryotic large subunit ribosomal RNA", at positions 813 to 953 of the family's 3401-position model. The record is from Rfam by way of RNAcentral. Lineage: Eukaryota; Metazoa; Chordata; Aves; Galliformes; Phasianidae.
GACUCAAAAGAUGGUGAACUGUGCCUUGGUAGAGCAGAACCAGAGGAAAAACUGCUGGAGGUGCACAGGAGAUCUGACCUGCAAAUCAGUCAUCCAGCCUAAAUAUAGGAAUAAAAGACUAAUCAAACAGUCCAGUGUCUG